This 936-nucleotide long non-coding RNA is filed under the name Nicotiana benthamiana. RNAcentral's name for it is "long non-coding RNA (NBEN_LNC014791)". The record is from RNAcentral. Lineage: Eukaryota; Viridiplantae; Streptophyta; Magnoliopsida; Solanales; Solanaceae.
UGGUGUGUGUUUAAUGAUGUCAAAAAAGGCAAACAAAAAGAAAAAGUUGAAAGAAAUUGACAAUAUUUCAACUUUUUUUCAUUGUUGGUCUAUUUCCCAGCAUCCUAUAGUUGAAUUUUAGCUAACACUCUUUUCAUGGAUGCGAAGAAAUGACCUGGUUUUUGCCUUUAUCAAAAACAAACAACCCCUCCUUUAAAAAAAAGCUUCAUUUUGCAUUGACUAGGCGUACAGGAUCGCAUGUUCUCCUGUACGCCUUUUUCUUUCGUUUGUUAACAUCAUGUUAACAAAGAUCGUCCACAUUUUGCUAUUAUUCGUAUGUCUUUCUUCUAUUUCUCGCUCGCUUCAUACUGCAAAAGGUGAUGAUCAAAAUACAUUAUUAUUAGCAUGUGGUUCGGAAAAUGGUGGAACGGAUGAAGAUGAGAGAAAAUGGGAGCCAGACGCGAAAUAUCUAAUUUCAGGUGAUAAAUCAGUCAUUUCACAACCUGAAUCUCAAGGCCCUUCUUCUCCAUCUGUUGUGCCAUAUAUAAAUGCAAGAAUUUUUCAAUCUGAAUCUUCAUAUAACCUUCCUGUUAAAAACCAAACAACUUAUAUUUUACUCAGGCUUUAUUUCAAUCCAUCUCCUUAUCCUAAUUUCAAUAUUUCCAAUUCAUAUAUCACAGUUUCUGUAGGUAAAUUUACAUUAUUAAGCAAUUUCAGUGCCUUUAUUACAGCUCAAGCCUUUUCACAAAGUUACAUAAUUAAAGAAUAUAUUUUAACUCCUGUUAAUUCUCCAACCCUGGAAAUCAAAAUUAAGCCUUUUGGUAAUAACAGCUCAAGCCUUUUCACAAAGUUACAUUAUUAAAGAAUAUAUUUUAACUCCUGUUAAUUCUCCAACCCUGGAAAUCAAAAUUAAGCCUUUUGGUGAUUCACCAUUUGCAUUUAUUAAUGGAAUUGAAA